CUGGAGGUAUCAGAAGUGCGAAUGCUGACAUAAGUAACGAUAAAGCGGGUGAAAAGCCCGCUCGCCGGAAGACCAAGGGUUCCUGUCCAACGUUAAUCGGGGCAGGGUGAGUCGACCCCUAAGGCGAGGCCGAAAGGCGUAGUCGAUGGGAAACAGGUUAAUAUUCCUGUACUUGGUGUUACUGCGAAGGGGGGACGGAGAAGGCUAUGUUGGCCGGGCGACGGUUGUCCCGGUUUAAGCGUGUAGGCUGGUUUUCCAGGCAAAUCCGGAAAAUCAAGGCUGAGGCGUGAUGACGAGGCACUACGGUGCUGAAGCAACAAAUGCCCUGCUUCCAGGAAAAGCCUCUAAGCAUCAGGUAACAUCAAAUC
This 368-nucleotide ribosomal RNA is filed under the name Escherichia coli. RNAcentral describes it as "partial 23S ribosomal RNA". It matches the Rfam family "Bacterial large subunit ribosomal RNA", at positions 1273 to 1643 of the family's 2925-position model. The record is from RNAcentral. Lineage: Bacteria; Pseudomonadati; Pseudomonadota; Gammaproteobacteria; Enterobacterales; Enterobacteriaceae.